UACGUAGGUGACAAGCGUUAUCCGGAUUUAUUGGGCGUAAAGGGAACGCAGGCGGUCUUUUAAGUCUGAUGUGAAAGCCUUCGGCUUAACCGGAGUAGUGCAUUGGAAACUGGGAGACUUGAGUGCAGAAGAGGAGAGUGGAACUCCAUGUGUAGCGGUGAAAUGCGUAGAUAUAUGGAAGAACACCAGUGGCGAAAGCGGCUCUCUGGUCUGUAACUGACGCUGAGGCACGAAAGCGUGGGUAUCGAACAGG
Molecule: ribosomal RNA, 253 nt
Filed under: uncultured bacterium
Lineage: Bacteria
Description: partial 16S ribosomal RNA
Rfam family: Bacterial small subunit ribosomal RNA
Source: RNAcentral